GAUGAACGCUGGCGGCGUGCCUAAUACAUGCAAGUCGAGCGAACGGACGAGAAGCUUGCUUCUCUGAUGUUAGCGGCGGACGGGUGAGUAACACGUGGAUAACCUACCUAUAAGACUGGGAUAACUUCGGGAAACCGGAGCUAAUACCGGAUAAUAUUUUGAACCGCAUGGUUCAAAAGUGAAAGACGGUCUUGCCGUCACUUAUAGAUGGAUCCGCGCUGCAUUAGCUAGUUGGUAAGGUAACGGCUUACCAAGGCAACGAUGCAUAGCCGACCUGCGAGGGUGAUCGGCCACACUGGAACUGAGACACGGUCCCGACUCCUACGGGAGGCAGCAGUAGGGAAUCUUCCGCAAUGGGCGAAAGCCUGACGGAGCAACGCCGCGUGAGUGAUGAAGGUCUUCGGAUCGUAAAACUCUGUUAUUAGGGAAGAACAUAUGUGUAAGUAACUGUGCACAUCUUGACGGUACCUAAUCAGAAAGCCACGGCUAACUACGUG
This 497-nucleotide ribosomal RNA is filed under the name uncultured bacterium. Its description in RNAcentral is "partial 16S ribosomal RNA". It matches the Rfam family "Bacterial small subunit ribosomal RNA", at positions 28 to 507 of the family's 1533-position model. The record is from RNAcentral.